ACUGUUGAAGGCUCUGCAAAUAAAAGU
Molecule: non-coding RNA, 27 nt
Filed under: Cricetulus griseus (Chinese hamster)
Lineage: Eukaryota; Metazoa; Chordata; Mammalia; Rodentia; Cricetidae
Source: RNAcentral